RNAcentral lists this ribosomal RNA (484 nucleotides) under uncultured bacterium. RNAcentral describes it as "partial 16S ribosomal RNA". It matches the Rfam family "Bacterial small subunit ribosomal RNA", at positions 30 to 507 of the family's 1533-position model. The record is from RNAcentral.
AUUGAACGCUGGCGGAAUGCUUUACACAUGCAAGUCGAGCGGCAGCGCGGCCUUCGGGCUGGCGGCGAGCGGCGAACGGGUGAGUAAUGCAUCGGAACAUGCCCAGUCGUGGGGGAUAACACUUCGAAAGAAGUGCUAAUACCGCAUACGUCCUGAGGGGGAAAGCGGGGGAUCGCAAGACCUCGCGCGAUUGGAGUGGCCGAUGUCAGAUUAGCUAGUUGGUGGGGUAAAGGCCUACCAAGGCGACGAUCUGUAGCUGGUCUGAGAGGAUGAUCAGCCACACUGUGACUGAGACACGGCCCAGACUCCUACGGGAGGCAGCAGUGGGGAAUUUUGGACAAUGGGGGCAACCCUGAUCCAGCCAUUCCGCGUGAGUGAAGAAGGCCUUCGGGUUGUAAAGCUCUUUCGGCAGGAACGAAACGGUGGGCUCUAACAUAGUCCGCUAAUGACGGUACCUGAAGAAGAAGCACCGGCUAACUACGUG